Molecule: transfer RNA, 68 nt
Filed under: Lygodactylus capensis (Cape dwarf gecko)
Lineage: Eukaryota; Metazoa; Chordata; Lepidosauria; Squamata; Gekkonidae
Also listed under: 1 other name
Description: tRNA-Ala
Rfam family: tRNA
About the family: Transfer RNA (tRNA) molecules are approximately 80 nucleotides in length. Their secondary structure includes four short double-helical elements and three loops (D, anti-codon, and T loops). Further hydrogen bonds mediate the characteristic L-shaped molecular structure. tRNAs have two regions of fundamental functional importance: the anti-codon, which is responsible for specific mRNA codon recognition, and the 3' end, to which the tRNAs corresponding amino acid is attached (by aminoacyl-tRNA synthetases). tRNAs cope with the degeneracy of the genetic code in two manners: having more than one tRNA (with a specific anti-codon) for a particular amino acid; and 'wobble' base-pairing, i.e. permitting non-standard base-pairing at the 3rd anti-codon position.
Source: RNAcentral
GAAGCCUUAGCUUAAUUAAAGUGUCUGAGUUGCAAUCAGGUGAUGUAGUGUAGAGUUCUACAGGUUUU